Molecule: ribosomal RNA, 262 nt
Filed under: uncultured archaeon
Lineage: Archaea
Description: partial 16S ribosomal RNA
Rfam family: Archaeal small subunit ribosomal RNA
Source: RNAcentral
UAGCCGUAAACGAUACUCGCUAGGUGUCGGCCACGGUGCGACCGUUGUCGGUGCCGUAGGGAAGCCGUGAAGCGAGCCACCUGGGAAGUACGGCCGCAAGGCUGAAACUUAAAGGAAUUGGCGGGGGGAGCACCACAAGAGGUGGAGGCUGCGGUUCAAUUGGACUCAACGCCGGAAAACUCAUCGGGAGCGACAGCAGUAUGAUUGCCAGGUUGAUGACCUUGCUUGACAAGCUGAGAGGUGGUGCAUGGCGUAGUCGUGU